This 403-nucleotide ribosomal RNA is filed under the name Verrucomicrobiota bacterium. RNAcentral describes it as "Verrucomicrobia bacterium partial 16S ribosomal RNA". It matches the Rfam family "Bacterial small subunit ribosomal RNA", at positions 355 to 776 of the family's 1533-position model. Lineage: Bacteria; Pseudomonadati; Verrucomicrobiota. The record is from RNAcentral.
UGGGGAAUAUUUCACAAUGGGGGAAACCCUGAUGCAGCGACGCCGCGUGAGCGAAGAAGGCUUUCGAGUCGUAAAGCUCUGUCCUAUGAGAAGAUAAUGACGGUAUCAUAGGAGGAAGCCCUGGCUAAAUACGUGCCAGCAGCCGCGGUAAUACGUAUGGGGCGAGCGUUGUCCGGAAUUAUUGGGCGUAAAGGGUACGUAGGCGGUUUUUUAAGUCAGGUGUCAAAGCGUGGAGCUUAACUCCAUUAAGCACUUGAAACUGAAAGACUUGAGUGAAGGAGAGGAAAGUGGAAUUCCUAGUGUAGCGGUGAAAUGCGUAGAUAUUAGGAGGAAUACCGGUGGCGAAGGCGACUUUCUGGACUUUUACUGACGCUCAGGUACGAAAGCGUGGGGAGCAAACAGG